UAGUAGUCAUACGCUCGUCUCAAAGAUUAAGCCAUUCAUGUGUAAGUAUAAAUAGUUAACUUUGAAACUGCGAAUGGCUCAUUAUAUCAGUUAUAGUUUAUUUGAUGAAGAAUACUAAUUGGAUAACCGUAGUAAUUCUAGAGCUAAUACAUGUAUAAAGUCUUGUAGACUGCAUUUAUUAGAAUGAAAACCAUAGGUUUCGGCCUAUUCGUGAGUAAUAAUAACUAAUCAUAUCGUAUGCUUAUGUAACGAUGUGCCUUUCAAGUUUCUGCCCUAUCAGCUUUCCAUGGCAUGGUAUUGGACUACCAUGGAGACGACGGGUGAAUACUAA
This 331-nucleotide ribosomal RNA is filed under the name Blastocystis sp. subtype 3. RNAcentral describes it as "SSU rRNA". It matches the Rfam family "Eukaryotic small subunit ribosomal RNA", at positions 18 to 369 of the family's 1831-position model. The record is from RNAcentral. Lineage: Eukaryota; Bigyra; Opalinata; Blastocystidae.